RNAcentral lists this ribosomal RNA (508 nucleotides) under Prevotella denticola. RNAcentral describes it as "bacterial SSU rRNA". It matches the Rfam family "Bacterial small subunit ribosomal RNA", at positions 421 to 932 of the family's 1533-position model. The record is from RNAcentral. Lineage: Bacteria; Pseudomonadati; Bacteroidota; Bacteroidia; Bacteroidales; Prevotellaceae.
GGUUGUAAACGCUUUUAUGCGGGGAUAAAGUGAGGGACGUGUCCCUUUUUGCAGGUACCGCAUGAAUAAGGACCGGCUAAUUCCGUGCCAGCAGCCGCGGUAAUACGGAAGGUCCGGGCGUUAUCCGGAUUUAUUGGGUUUAAAGGGAGCGUAGGCCGGGGAUUAAGUGUGUUGUGAAAUGUACGGCGCCCAACGUCUGACUUGCAGCGCAUACUGGUUCCCUUGAGUACGCGCAACGCCGGCGGAAUUCGUCGUGUAGCGGUGAAAUGCUUAGAUAUGACGAAGAGACCCUGAUUGCGAAGGCAGCCGGCGGGAGCGCAACUGACGCUGAAGCUCGAAGGUGCGGGUAUCGAACAGGAUUAGAUACCCUGGUAUUCCGCACGGUAAACGAUGGAUGCCCCCUGUUCGCGCCUGCCCCGCGGCCAAGCGAAAGCGUUAAGCAUCCCACCUGGGGAGUACGCCGGCAACGGUGAAACUCAAAGGAAUUGACGGGGGCCCGCACAAGCGG